CAAGUCGAACGCGAAAGGGGCUUCGGCCCUGAGUAGAGUGGCGAACGGGUGAGUAACACGUGGGUGAUCUACCUCUGAGUGGGGGAUAACGUUCCGAAAGGAGCGCUAAUACCGCAUGACGUCCUGGGUUUGAAGACCUGGAAACCAAAGUCGGGGACCGCAAGGCCUGACGCUGAGAGAGGAGCCCGCGCCUGAUUAGCUAGUUGGUGGGGUAAUGGCUCACCAAGGCGACGAUCAGUAGCCGGCCUGAGAGGGCGGACGGCCACACUGGGACUGAGACGCGGCCCAGACUCCUACGGGAGGCAGCAGUGGGGAAUUGUUCGCAAUGGGCGCAAGCCUGACGACGCAACGCCGCGUGGAGGAUGAAGGUCUUCGGAUUGUAAACUCCUGUUGACCGGGAAGAAUGGAUUCCGACCUAACACGUCGGAGUAAUGACGGUACCGGUUGAGGAAGCCACGGCUAACUCUGUGCCAGCAGCCGCGGUAAUACAGAGGUGGCAAGCGUUGUUCGGAAUUACUGGGCGUAAAGGGCGCGUAGGCGGCCGCCUAAGUCAGACGUGAAAUCCCCAAGCUUAACUUGGGAACUGCGUCUGAUACUGGGUGGCUUGAGUUCGGGAGAGGAAUGUGGAAUUCCAGGUGUAGCGGUGAAAUGCGUANAUAUCUGGAGGAACACCGGUGGCGAAGGCGGCACUCUGGACCGAAACUGACGCUGAGGCGCGAAAGCCAGGGGAGCAAACGGGAUUAGAUACCCCGGUAGUCCUGGCCCUAAACGAUGAGUGCUUGGUGUGGUGGGUAUCGAUCCCUGCC
This 806-nucleotide ribosomal RNA is filed under the name uncultured Bacillota bacterium. RNAcentral describes it as "bacterial SSU rRNA". It matches the Rfam family "Bacterial small subunit ribosomal RNA", at positions 58 to 842 of the family's 1533-position model. The record is from RNAcentral. Lineage: Bacteria; Bacillati; Bacillota.